AGUGAACGCUGGCGGUAGGCCUAACACAUGCAAGUCGAACGGCAGCACAGUAAGAGCUUGCUCUUACGGGUGGCGAGUGGCGGACGGGUGAGGAAUACAUCGGAAUCUACUUUUUCGUGGGGGAUAACGUAGGGAAACUUACGCUAAUACCGCAUACGACCUACGGGUGAAAGCAGGGGAUCUUCGGACCUUGCGCGAUUGAAUGAGCCGAUGUCGGAUUAGCUAGUUGGCGGGGUAAAGGCCCACCAAGGCGACGAUCCGUAGCUGGUCUGAGAGGAUGAUCAGCCCCACUGGAACUGAGACACGGUCCAGCCUCCUACGGGAGGCAGCAGUGGGGAAUAUUGGACAAUGGGCGCAAGCCUGAUCCAGCCAUACCGCGUGGGUGAAGAAGGCCUUCGGGUUGUAAAGCCCUUUUGUUGGGAAAGAAAAGCAGCAGGUUAAUACCCCGCUGUUCUGACGGUACCCAAAGAAUAAGCACCGGCUAACUUCGUG
RNAcentral lists this ribosomal RNA (492 nucleotides) under uncultured bacterium. RNAcentral describes it as "partial 16S ribosomal RNA". It matches the Rfam family "Bacterial small subunit ribosomal RNA", at positions 29 to 507 of the family's 1533-position model. The record is from RNAcentral.